UCCAAGCACCAGCUAGUGCUCUGUGC
Molecule: non-coding RNA, 26 nt
Filed under: Homo sapiens (human)
Lineage: Eukaryota; Metazoa; Chordata; Mammalia; Primates; Hominidae
Source: RNAcentral